This 450-nucleotide ribosomal RNA is filed under the name uncultured bacterium. Its description in RNAcentral is "bacterial SSU rRNA". It matches the Rfam family "Bacterial small subunit ribosomal RNA", at positions 29 to 524 of the family's 1533-position model. The record is from RNAcentral.
AACGAACGCUGGCGGCAUGCCUAACACAUGCAAGUCGAACGAGACCUUCGGGUCUAGUGGCGCACGGGUGCGUAACGCGUGGGAAUCUGCCCUUGGGUUCGGAAUAACAGCGAGAAAUUGCUGCUAAUACCGGAUGAUGACGUAAGUCCAAAGAUUUAUCGCCCAAGGAUGAGCCCGCGUAGGAUUAGCUAGUUGGUGAGGUAAAGGCUCACCAAGGCGACGAUCCUUAGCUGGUCUGAGAGGAUGCUCAGCCACACUGGGACUGAGACACGGCCCAGACUCCUACGGGAGGCAGCAGUGGGGAAUAUUGGACAAUGGGCGAAAGCCUGAUCCAGCAAUGCCGCGUGAGUGAUGAAGGCCUUAGGGUUGUAAAGCUCUUUUACCCGGGAUGAUAAUGACAGUACCGGGAGAAUAAGCUCCGGCUAACUCCGUGCCAGCAGCCGCGGUAAU